GAUGAACGCUGGCGGCGUGCCUAAUACAUGCAAGUCGAGCGAACAGACGAGGAGCUUGCUCCUCUUACGUUAGCGGCGGACGGGUGAGUAACACGUGGAUAACCUACCUAUAAGACUGGGAUAACUUCGGGAAACCGGAGCUAAUACCGGAUAAUAUAUUGAACCGCAUGGUUCAAUAGUGAAAGACGGUUUUGCUGUCACUUAUAGAUGGAUCCGCGCCGCAUUAGCUAGUUGGUAAGGUAACGGCUUACCAAGGCAACGAUGCGUAGCCGACCUGAGAGGGUGAUCGGCCACACUGGAACUGAGACACGGUCCAGACUCCUACGGGAGGCAGCAGUAGGGAAUCUUCCGCAAAGGGCGAAAGCUUGACGGAGCAACGCCGCGUGAGUGAUGAAGGUCUUCGGAUCGUAAAACUCUGUUAUUAGGGAAGAACAAAUGUGUAAGUAACUAUGCACGUCUUGACGGUACCUAAUCAGAAAGCCACGGCUAACUACGUG
This 497-nucleotide ribosomal RNA is filed under the name uncultured bacterium. RNAcentral describes it as "partial 16S ribosomal RNA". It matches the Rfam family "Bacterial small subunit ribosomal RNA", at positions 28 to 507 of the family's 1533-position model. The record is from RNAcentral.